CUUGGUCAUUUAGAGGAAGUAAAAGUCGUAACAAGGUCUCCGUUGGUGAACCAGCGGAGGGAUCAUUACCGAGUUUACAACUCCCAAACCCCUGUGAACAUACCACUUGUUGCCUCGGCGGAUCAGCCCGCUCCCGGUAAAACGGGACGGCCCGCCAGAGGACCCCUAAACUCUGUUUCUAUAUGUAACUUCUGAGUAAAACCAUAAAUAAAUCAAAACUUUCAACAACGGAUCUCUUGGUUCUGGCAUCGAUGAAGAACGCAGCAAAAUGCGAUAAGUAAUGUGAAUUGCAGAAUUCAGUGAAUCGUCGAAUCUUUGAACGCACAUUGCGCCCGCCAGUAUUCUGGCGGGCAUGCCUGUUCGAGCGUCAUUUCAACCCUCAAGCACAGCUUGGUGUUGGGACUCGCGUUAAUUCGCGUUCCUCAAAUUGAUUGGCGGUCACGUCGAGCUUCCAUAGCGUAGUAGUAAAACCCUCGUUACUGGUAAUCGUCGCGGCCACGCCGUUAAACCCCAACUUCUGAAUGUUGACCUCGGAUCAGGUAGGAAUACCCGCUGAACUUAAGCAUAUCAAUAAGCGGAGGA
Molecule: ribosomal RNA, 582 nt
Filed under: uncultured fungus
Lineage: Eukaryota; Fungi
Description: eukaryotic LSU rRNA
Rfam family: 5.8S ribosomal RNA (bases 217-370)
Source: RNAcentral